GGUAAUGGUACUGGUGGAUAGGUGAAGGGUUGGUAAUGGGACUGGUGGAUAGGGGAAGGGUUGGUAAUGGGACUGGUGGAUAGGGGAAGGGUUGGUAAUGGGACUGGUGGAUAGGGGAAGGGUUGGUAAUGGGACUGGUGGAUAGGGGAAGGGGUGGUAAUGGGACUGGUGGAUAGGGGAAGGGUUGGUAAUGGGACUGGUGGAUAGGGGAAGGGUUGGUAAUGGGACUGGUGGAUAGGGGAAGGGUUGGUAAUGGGACUGGUGGAUAGGGGAAGGGUUGGUAAUGGGACUGGUGGAUAGGGGAAGGGUUGGUAAUGGGACUGGUGGAUAGGGGAAGGGUUGGUAAUGGGACUGGUGGAUAGGGGAAGGAUUGGUAAUGGGACUGGUGGAUAAGGGACGGGUUGGUAAUGGGAGGGAGGGAGGGAGGUUGGUAGAUAGAUAGAUAGGUAAGUAGGUUAAUAGGUUUGUUUGUUUGUUUGUUGGUAGGUAGGAAGAUGAACAGGUAGGUAUAUAGGUAGGGAAGACAGGUUUGUAUGUGUGUUUGUGUAAGUAGACAGGUAGGUUGGUAGGUAGUUAGGUUUAUAUAUGUAGAGUGUAUGUUUAUGUAUGUAGGUAGACAGGUUUGUAUGUAGAUGUGUAAGUCAAUUUGUAUGUAUGUAGUAACUGUCUUUUACUGUCUAUCUUUGUCCUAAUUACUUCUGAAUCAGCACUUUGCCUUCGUUAUUUAUGUAGCUGUAUGUAAGUCGGUAGGCAUAUGUAGGUGAAAUCAUGCAGUAAGUUGUUAAUCAUCCAGUAAGUCGUUAUUUAUGUAUAGCUGUAUAUAAAUCGGUAGGUAUAUGUAGGUAAAAUCAUGCAGUAAGUCGUUAUUUUUGUAGCUGUAUGUAGGUCGGUCGGUAUAUGUAUGUAGGUAAAAUCAUGCAGUAAGUCGUUAAUCAUGCAGUAAGUCGUUAUUUUUGUAGCUGUAUGUAGGUCGGUAGGUAUAUGUAGGUAGGUAAAAUCAUGCAGUAAGUCGGCACAGUUACCCUCCCACCUUGAACAAAUCGAAGUUGACCGUUGGGGGCGAGCCGAUGUCCGCCACGAUCGCCCGCAUCUCGGCGUUGGAGGUGUUGAUCCCCAGGG
This is a long non-coding RNA of Eriocheir sinensis (Chinese mitten crab), 1119 nucleotides long. RefSeq lists it as uncharacterized. The transcript is spliced from 3 exons. The record is from RefSeq and is a predicted model, not a curated record. Lineage: Eukaryota; Metazoa; Arthropoda; Malacostraca; Decapoda; Varunidae.